AACGAACGCUGGCGGCAGGCCUAACACAUGCAAGUCGAGCGAAGCCUUCGGGCUUAGCGGCGGACGGGUGAGUAACGCGUGGGAACGUGCCCUUUGGUACGGAAUAGCCCCGGGAAACUGGGAGUAAUACCGUAUGUGGUCGAGAGACGAAAGAUUUAUCGCCAAAGGAUCGGCCCGCGUUGGAUUAGGUAGUUGGUGGGGUAAUGGCCUACCAAGCCGACGAUCCAUAGCUGGUUUGAGAGGAUGAUCAGCCACACUGGGACUGAGACACGGCCCAGACUCCUACGGGAGGCAGCAGUGGGGAAUCUUAGACAAUGGGGGAAACCCUGAUCUAGCCAUGCCGCGUGAUCGAUGAAGGCCUUAGGGUUGUAAAGAUCUUUCAGUGGGGAAGAUAAUGACUGUACCCACAGAAGAAGCCCCGGCUAACUCCGUGCCAGCAGCCGCGGUAAUACGGAGGGGGCUAGCGUUGUUCGGAAUUACUGGGCGUAAAGCGCACGUAGGCGGAACAGAAAGUCAGAGGUGAAAUCCCAGGGCUCAACCUUGGAACUGCCUUUGAAACUCCUGUUCUUGAGGUCGAGAGAGGUGAGUGGAAUUCCGAGUGUAGAGGUGAAAUUCGUAGAUAUUCGGAGGAACAC
Molecule: ribosomal RNA, 635 nt
Filed under: uncultured Gemmobacter sp.
Lineage: Bacteria; Pseudomonadati; Pseudomonadota; Alphaproteobacteria; Rhodobacterales; Paracoccaceae
Description: bacterial SSU rRNA
Rfam family: Bacterial small subunit ribosomal RNA
Source: RNAcentral